UCUUGCCCCAGGAUGAACGCUGGCGGCGUGCCUAAUACAUGCAAGUCGAGCGAACAGAUAAGGAGCUGUGCUCCUUUGACGUUAGCGGCGGACGGGUGAGUAACACGUGGGUAACCUACCUAUAAGACUGGAAUAACUCCGGGAAACCGGGGCUAAUGCCGGAUAACAUGUUGAACCGCAUGGUUCUACAGUGAAAGGCGGCUUUGCUGUCACUUAUAGAUGGACCCGCGCCGUAUUAGCUAGUUGGUGAGGUAACGGCUCACCAAGGCAACGAUACGUAGCCGACCUGAGAGGGUGAUCGGCCACACUGGAACUGAGACACGGUCCAGACUCCUACGGGAGGCAGCAGUAGGGAAUCUUCCGCAAUGGGCGAAAGCUGACGGAGCAACGCCGCGUGAGUGAUGAAGGUCUUCGGAUCGUAAAACUCUGUUAUUAGGGAAGAACAAAUGCGUAAGUAACUGUGCGCGUCUUGACGGUACCUAAUCAGAAAGCCACGGCUAACUACGUGCCAGCAGCCGCGGUAAUACGUAGGUGGCAAGCGUUAUCCGGAAUUAUUGGGCGUAAAGCGCGCGUAGGCGGUUUUUUAAGUCUGAUGUGAAAGCCCACGGCUCAACCGUGGAGGGUCAUUGGAAACUGAAAAACUUGAGUGCAGAAGAGGAAAGUGGAAUUCCAUGUGUAGCGGUGAAAUGCGCAGAGAUAUGGAGGAACACCAGUGGCGAAGGCGACUUUCUGGUCUGUAACUGACGCUGAUGUGCGAAAGCGUGGGGAUCAAACAGGAUGGGAUACGCUGGU
This 792-nucleotide ribosomal RNA is filed under the name uncultured Staphylococcus sp. RNAcentral's name for it is "bacterial SSU rRNA". It matches the Rfam family "Bacterial small subunit ribosomal RNA", at positions 17 to 791 of the family's 1533-position model. The record is from RNAcentral. Lineage: Bacteria; Bacillati; Bacillota; Bacilli; Caryophanales; Staphylococcaceae.